Molecule: ribosomal RNA, 252 nt
Filed under: uncultured bacterium
Lineage: Bacteria
Description: partial 16S ribosomal RNA
Rfam family: Bacterial small subunit ribosomal RNA
Source: RNAcentral
UACGGGGGGGCAAGCGUUGUUCGGAAUUACUGGGCGUAAAGGGCGUGUAGGCGGCCAACUAAGUCCGACGUGAAAUCCCCAGGCUUAACCUGGGAACUGCGUCGGAUACUGGAUGGCUUGAAUCCGGGAGAGGGAUGCGGAAUUCCAGGUGUAGCGGUGAAAUGCGUAGAUAUCUGGAGGAACACCGGUGGCGAAGGCGGCAUCCUGGACCGGCAUUGACGCUAAAGCGCGAAAGCCAGGGGAGCAAACGGG